This is a non-coding RNA of Jatropha curcas, 496 nucleotides long. The record is from RefSeq and is a predicted model, not a curated record. Lineage: Eukaryota; Viridiplantae; Streptophyta; Magnoliopsida; Malpighiales; Euphorbiaceae.
CGUUUGGAGCGAGAUUAGUCUUGGAAGCAGCAACUAGGAAAUGGGAAAACCAAAGCAAUCAAUGUGGAGGCUUUCUCUCGUACACUUCCUGUGUAUUUAAGCUCACUGUCUAGGAUAAUUUUAUAAUGGUGUAUUUUGUUUGGUGAGGACUGAUGUGGGAGGAGGGGAUGAAAGGAUUCAGCCUUACCUUCAAAAGCUUGUCUACAAUUGAGGAGGAAAAUGAAGGGAAUAUAAAAGAAAGAAAAAUUUAUAACAUAGUUGUGUUGGACUGCAAAGUUUUCCUUAGAUAAGGAUGCUGUUUUAAUUCUACCUUGAGUAAUGGGUUUUUCAGCAUUAUUCCCUGCUUUGAUGAUAAAAUAUUAAUGGAACCAAAGAUUUACCAACCUAAAGGCUGAUUAUUAAGGUUUUACAUUUGAAGCCAACAAUGGAAGUCUUAAAUCCUUGAACAUUGGUUUCAGGAAUCUGCAAAUUGGAUCCAGAAAAGGCCAAAGCUGCC